This 123-nucleotide small nucleolar RNA is filed under the name Chinchilla lanigera (long-tailed chinchilla). RNAcentral describes it as "Small nucleolar RNA SNORA70 (ENSCLAG00000019509.1)". The stretch from base 43 to 123 matches the Rfam family "Small nucleolar RNA SNORA70". Rfam says of the family: snoRNA U70 seems to be exclusive to mammals and is a member of the H/ACA class of snoRNA which contain H (ANANNA) and ACA box motifs. H/ACA box snoRNAs are involved in the conversion of uridines to pseudouridines (5-ribosyluracil) a constituent of structural RNAs (transfer, ribosomal, small nuclear, and small nucleolar). Lineage: Eukaryota; Metazoa; Chordata; Mammalia; Rodentia; Chinchillidae. The record is from RNAcentral.
AGGUCGUGAGUUAGAUUCCCAGUACCAGGGGGAAAAAAAAAGAUAAGUGUUGCAGCAGAAUUACUGGCAAUAUAUGCAGCCUGUUGCUUUUAUGGGCUUCCCUAAGGGUCCUUAAAGACACUC